GUAUUAUAACUUUAUGCUCAAUUAAGAGACUUUAUGCAUUCUUAUAGACUUGUGUGUUUAUAAAUUGUGUGUAAAAAUGAAGUGUGUUCACAGUGUGUGGAAAUGAAAUUGGUCGGACCUCUAAAAAGAGCGCCCUAAAAAUUCAUUAAUGAUCCUUCCGCAGGUUCACCUACGGAAA
This 178-nucleotide unclassified non-coding RNA is filed under the name uncultured fungus. RNAcentral's name for it is "sequence contains ITS1". The record is from RNAcentral. Lineage: Eukaryota; Fungi.